RNAcentral lists this ribosomal RNA (301 nucleotides) under uncultured bacterium. Its description in RNAcentral is "partial 16S ribosomal RNA". It matches the Rfam family "Bacterial small subunit ribosomal RNA", at positions 509 to 807 of the family's 1533-position model. The record is from RNAcentral.
CAGCAGCCACGGGAAUACAGAGGGUGCAAGCGUUAAUCGGAAUUACUGGGCGUAAAGCGCGCGUAGGUGGUUUGUUAAGUUGGAUGUGAAAGCCCCGGGCUCAACCUGGGAACUGCAUCCAAAACUGGCAAGCUAGAGUACGGUAGAGGGUGGUGGAAUUUCCUGUGUAGCGGUGAAAUGCGUAGAUAUAGGAAGGAACACCAGUGGCGAAGGCGACCACCUGGACUGAUACUGACACUGAGGUGCGAAAGCGUGGGGAGCAAACAGGAUUAGAUACUCCGGUAGUCCCUGUCUCUUAUAC